Molecule: non-coding RNA, 642 nt
Organism: Megalobrama amblycephala (Wuchang bream)
Lineage: Eukaryota; Metazoa; Chordata; Actinopteri; Cypriniformes; Xenocyprididae
Source: the annotation of a RefSeq genome assembly
CUCCUCCUGCAGGUCUCUGAUAUGUGUCAGUGUUAGUACAACUUUAUCAAAGAGAGGCUGAAACAAGAGUCUACUGUAGAUUUCAACAAGUUAAUUUUAUCUAAAGUAUUAUUUAACAAUUUCUGUGAUGGCAAACUGGCAAAGAAUUGUAGUCUUCUUCAUCACAUAUUUCUGGGGAUGUGAUUCUCUGGACAGCGUUGAACAAAAUCCAGGAGUUCAAACUGCUGUUGAAGGUGCAGCUGUAACAAUCAACUGUCAAUAUGAAACCACUGAUUCAUCACCAGAUCUGUUCUGGUACCAGCAAAAAGUGAAUGGAUUUCCAGAAUACAUGCUGAACAGAUUUGGCACGAAUAAUAAACAGUUCGAGGACAGAUUUAGCAGCAAUCUCGACACAACUUCAAAAUCUUUUCCACUGACAAUCCAGGAUCUGUGUGUGUCAGACUCUGCUGUGUAUUACUGUGCUCUGAGGCCCACAGUCACAGGAAACACAAGAACACUGUACAAAAACCUGACAGCUGAAUGCCUUACUAAACAGACUGAAGCACAUAACAAUAGAAAUAAUCACAUUCCCAAACUGCCAAUUCAGACACAGAACAAAAGUCUGAUGGAACAAAAAGACACCUUUUAAAAUGAGAUAUAAUA